AGAAAAAGGUACUGGUUCCAAAUGACCAAUUAAGGGCUAGGUUCUUCUUACCCCUGUGUUGCUUAGCUCUCAACAUUUUUUUACUGUCUUGUCUGUCUACUAGGUGUCACUGGCAAAACAAGAGUAAAAAAAAAAAACGAAGAUCUAAGCGACGCUCCAACCUCAGAUUUGUCAAAGACACGUGGUUCCCUUCCUUACAUUGGGCAACAGUGUUUACUCUUUCCAGGUGACAGGUGUCACUGUCAGUGGCAAAACAAGUUAAGUUAUCAAACUGGACAAGCCAAAAGACUCAAGCAGUACAACGGCAGACUUAUCAUUGUGGUUCCCCUAUAUUUGGAAAACAAAAAGGUGGCGAAAAAAGAGGAAGAGAACCGUAGAAGACGUGCAAAGUACAACCACAGAUUUAUUCACCUACAUUUGGCAAGGAUUAGGAAACAGUCCACUUGUGCUGCAAAGUGAAGAGUCAGACCAGGUGAAGAUGGAUGCAGUUGCCAGCGAGACAGACACUGAAUUUUUUAAUUUUGUCCCCC
This is a long non-coding RNA of Bufo bufo (common toad), 530 nucleotides long. RefSeq lists it as uncharacterized. The transcript is spliced from 3 exons. The record is from RefSeq and is a predicted model, not a curated record. NCBI's taxonomy places the organism in Eukaryota, Metazoa, Chordata, Amphibia, Anura, Bufonidae.